RNAcentral lists this transfer RNA (67 nucleotides) under Phyllomimus sinicus. RNAcentral's name for it is "tRNA-Leu". Lineage: Eukaryota; Metazoa; Arthropoda; Insecta; Orthoptera; Tettigoniidae. The record is from RNAcentral.
ACUAGUUUGGCAGAGUAGUGUUUUGAAGUUAGAUUUCAAGAAUGUAGCAUUUUUGUUACAAUUAGUA